This 691-nucleotide ribosomal RNA is filed under the name uncultured Ralstonia sp. RNAcentral's name for it is "bacterial SSU rRNA". It matches the Rfam family "Bacterial small subunit ribosomal RNA", at positions 76 to 763 of the family's 1533-position model. Lineage: Bacteria; Pseudomonadati; Pseudomonadota; Betaproteobacteria; Burkholderiales; Burkholderiaceae. The record is from RNAcentral.
CUUGCUAGAUUGAUGGCGAGUGGCGAACGGGUGAGUAAUACAUCGGAACGUGCCCUGUAGUGGGGGAUAACUAGUCGAAAGAUUAGCUAAUACCGCAUACGACCUGAGGGUGAAAGUGGGGGACCGCAAGGCCUCAUGCUAUAGGAGCGGCCGAUGUCUGAUUAGCUAGUUGGUGAGGUAAAGGCUCACCAAGGCGACGAUCAGUAGCUGGUCUGAGAGGACGAUCAGCCACACUGGGACUGAGACACGGCCCAGACUCCUACGGGAGGCAGCAGUGGGGAAUUUUGGACAAUGGGCGAAAGCCUGAUCCAGCAAUGCCGCGUGUGUGAAGAAGGCCUUCGGGUUGUAAAGCACUUUUGUCCGGAAAGAAAUGGCUCUGGUUAAUACCUGGGGUCGAUGACGGUACCGGAAGAAUAAGGACCGGCUAACUACGUGCCAGCAGCCGCGGUAAUACGUAGGGUCCAAGCGUUAAUCGGAAUUACUGGGCGUAAAGCGUGCGCAGGCGGUUGUGCAAGACCGAUGUGAAAUCCCCGAGCUUAACUUGGGAAUUGCAUUGGUGACUGCACGGCUAGAGUGUGUCAGAGGGGGGUAGAAUUCCACGUGUAGCAGUGAAAUGCGUAGAGAUGUGGAGGAAUACCGAUGGCGAAGGCAGCCCCCUGGGAUAACACUGACGCUCAUGCACGAAAGCGUG